UGCAUGAAGUCGGAAUCGCUAGUAAUCGCGGGUCAGCAUACCGCGGUGAAUACGUUCCCGGGCCUUGUACACACCGCCCGUCACACCACGAAAGUUGGUAACACCCGAAGCCGGUGGCCUAACCCUUAGGGGAGGGAGCUGUCGAAGGUGGGACUGAUGAUUGGGGUGAAGUCGUAACAAGGUAUC
This 186-nucleotide ribosomal RNA is filed under the name uncultured bacterium. Its description in RNAcentral is "partial 16S ribosomal RNA". It matches the Rfam family "Bacterial small subunit ribosomal RNA", at positions 1317 to 1500 of the family's 1533-position model. The record is from RNAcentral.